This 485-nucleotide ribosomal RNA is filed under the name uncultured bacterium. RNAcentral describes it as "partial 16S ribosomal RNA". It matches the Rfam family "Bacterial small subunit ribosomal RNA", at positions 29 to 523 of the family's 1533-position model. The record is from RNAcentral.
AGUGAACGCUGGAGGCGUGCUUAACACAUGCAAGUCGAACGAGAACGGAAUAUAGCUUGCUAUAUUUGUCAGCUAAGUGGCGCACGGGUGGGUAAUGUAUAGAUAACCUGCCCUUAAGAAAGGAAUAACAGUUGGAAACGACUGCUAAUGCCCUAUAUGCCUUUAAUACACAAGUAUGCAAGGGAAACGCUUUAGUGCUUAAGGAUUGGUCUGUAUGGUAUCAGCUUGUUGGUGAGGUAAUGGCUCACCAAGGCUAUGACGCCUAACUGGUUUGAGAGGAUGAUCAGUCACACUGGAACUGAGACACGGUCCAGACUCCUACGGGAGGCAGCAGUGGGGAAUAUUGCACAAUGGACGAAAGUCUGAUGCAGCAACGCCGCGUGGAGGAUGACACAUUUCGGUGCGUAAACUCCUUUUAUAUAGGAAGAUAAUGACGGUACUAUAUGAAUAAGCACCGGCUAACUCCGUGCCAGCCGCCGCGGUAA